This 228-nucleotide ribosomal RNA is filed under the name uncultured bacterium. Its description in RNAcentral is "partial 16S ribosomal RNA". It matches the Rfam family "Bacterial small subunit ribosomal RNA", at positions 113 to 334 of the family's 1533-position model. The record is from RNAcentral.
UAACAUAAGUAACCUGCCCUAGACAGGGGGAUAACUACUGGAAACGAUAGCUAAGACCGCAUAGGUACGGACACUGCAUGGUGACCGUAUUAAAAGUGCCUCAAAGCACUGGUAGAGGAUGGACUUAUGGCGCAUUAGCUGGUUGGCGGGGUAACGGCCCACCAAGGCGACGAUGCGUAGCCGACCUGAGAGGGUGACCGGCCACACUGGGACUGAGACACGGCCCAG